GUCCAGACUCCUACGGGAGGCAGCAGUGGGGAAUAUUGCACAAUGGGGGAAACCCUGAUGCAGCGACGCCGCGUGAGUGAAGAAGUAUUUCGGUAUGUAAAGCUCUAUCAGCAGGGAAGAAAAUGACGGUACCUGAUUAAGAAGCCCCGGCUAACUACGUGCCAGCAGCCGCGGUAAUACGUAGGGGGCAAGCGUUAUCCGGAUUUACUGGGUGUAAAGGGAGCGUAGACGGCAGCACAAGUCUGGAGUGAAAUGCCGGGGCUUAACCCCGGAACUGCUUUGGAAACUGUGCAGCUAGAGUGCAGGAGAGGUAAGUGGAAUUCCUAGUGUAGCGGUGAAAUGCGUAGAUAUUAGGAGGAACACCAGUGGCGAAGGCGGCCUGCUGGGCUCUAACUGACGCUGAGGCUCGAAAGCGUGGGUAGCAAACAGGAUUAGAUACCCCCGUAGA
Molecule: ribosomal RNA, 448 nt
Filed under: uncultured bacterium
Lineage: Bacteria
Description: bacterial SSU rRNA
Rfam family: Bacterial small subunit ribosomal RNA
Source: RNAcentral